AUCGAUGAACGCAGCGAAAUGCGAUAAGUAAUAUGAAUUGCAGAUAUUCGUGAAUCAUCGAAUCUUUGAACGCACAUUGCGCCCUUUGGUAUUCCAAAGGGCAUGCCUGUUUGAGCCUCAUUUCUCCCUCAAACCCUCGGGUUUGGUGUUGAGCGAUACGCUGGGUUUGCUUGAAAGAAAGGCGGAGUAUAAACUAAUGGAUAGGUUUUUUCCACUCAUUGGUACAAACUCCAAAACUUCUUCCAAAUUCGACCUCAAAUCAGUAGGACUACCCGCUGAACUUAAGCAUAUCAAUAAGCGGAGGAAAAG
Molecule: ribosomal RNA, 309 nt
Filed under: Lodderomyces hyderabadensis
Lineage: Eukaryota; Fungi; Ascomycota; Pichiomycetes; Serinales; Debaryomycetaceae
Description: eukaryotic LSU rRNA
Rfam family: 5.8S ribosomal RNA (bases 4-120)
Source: RNAcentral